Molecule: unclassified non-coding RNA, 349 nt
Filed under: soil metagenome
Description: partial contains 5.8S ribosomal RNA, internal transcribed spacer 2, and large subunit ribosomal RNA
Rfam family: 5.8S ribosomal RNA (bases 1-120)
Source: RNAcentral
GAUGAAGAACGCAGCGAAAUGCGAUAAGUAAUGUGAAUUGCAGAAUUCAGUGAAUCAUCGAAUCUUUGAACGCACAUUGCGCCCGCCAGUAUUCUGGCGGGCAUGCCUGUUCGAGCGUCAUUUCAACCCUCAAGCCCAGCUUGGUGUUGGGGAUCGGCACAGGCGCCCUCGGGCGCCCGCCGUCCCCUAAAUCUAGUGGCGGUCCCGCUGCAGCCUCCUCUGCGUAGUAGUUUUCUCCUCGCAAGGGCAGCUCGGUGGCGACCUCGCCGUAAAACCCCCAACUUCUGAAAGGUUGACCUCGAAUCAGGUAGGAAUACCCGCUGAACUUAAGCAUAUCAAUAAGGGAGGA